This 559-nucleotide ribosomal RNA is filed under the name uncultured archaeon. RNAcentral describes it as "bacterial SSU rRNA". It matches the Rfam family "Archaeal small subunit ribosomal RNA", at positions 259 to 822 of the family's 1478-position model. The record is from RNAcentral.
UACGACGGGUACGGGUUGUGAGAGCAAGAGCCCGGAGAUGGAUUCUGAGACACGAAUCCAGGCCCUACGGGGUGCAGCAGGCGCGAAAACUUUACAAUGCGAGAAAUCGUGAUAAGGGAACCCCGAGUGCCCGUAAAUUCGGGCUGUCCGCCAGUGCAAAUAGCUGGUGAAGAAAGGGCCGGGCAAGACCGGUGCCAGCCGCCGCGGUAAUACCGGCGGCUCGAGUGGUGGCCACUAUUACUGGGCUUAAAGCGUCCGUAGCUUGAUUGUUAAGUCUCUUGGGAAAUCCACCGGCUCAACCGAUGGGCGUUCAGGAGAAACUGGCAAUCUAGGGACCGGGAGAGGUGAGAGGUACUCCAGGGGUAGGAGUGAAAUCCUGUAAUCCUUGGGGGACCACCUGUGGCGAAGGCGUCUCACUAGAACGGCUCCGACAGUGAGGGACGAAAGCUGGGGGAGCAAACCGGAUUAGAUACCCGGGUAGUCCCAGCUGUAAACGAUGCGCGUUAGGUGUAUCGGUGACCACGAGUCAUCGAGGUGCCGAAGGGAAACCGUGAAACGU